UAGUCCACGCCGUAAACGAUGUCUACUAGCCGUUGGGGAACUUGAUUCCUUAGUGGCGCAGCUAACGCACUAAGUAGACCGCCUGGGGAGUACGGCCGCAAGGUUAAAGCUCAAAUGAAUUGACGGGGGCCCGCACAAGCGGUGGAGCAUGUGGUUUAAUUCGAUGCAACGCGAAGAGCCUUACCAGGCCUUGACAUCCUGCGAACCCUUUAGAGAUAGAGGGGUGCCUUCGGGAACGCAGUGACAGGUGCUGCAUGGCUGUCGUCAGCUCGUGUCGUAAGAUGUCUGGUUAAGUCCAAUAACGAGCGCAACCCUUAUCCUUAGUUACCAGCAUUAAGUUGGGGACUCUAGGGAGACUGCCGGUGUUAAACCGGAGGAAGGCGGGGAUGACGUCAAGUCCUCAUGGCCCUUACGGGUAGGGCUACACACGUACUACAAUGGCAGAUACAAACCGUUUGCAAAGCCGCGAGGUUGAGCUAAUCGGUAAAACACUGUCCCAGUCCGGAUUGGAGUCUGCAACUCGACU
This 526-nucleotide ribosomal RNA is filed under the name uncultured bacterium. Its description in RNAcentral is "bacterial SSU rRNA". It matches the Rfam family "Bacterial small subunit ribosomal RNA", at positions 791 to 1317 of the family's 1533-position model. The record is from RNAcentral.